This is a long non-coding RNA of Gadus macrocephalus (Pacific cod), 2417 nucleotides long. RefSeq lists it as uncharacterized. The record is from RefSeq and is a predicted model, not a curated record. The transcript has 3 exons. NCBI's taxonomy places the organism in Eukaryota, Metazoa, Chordata, Actinopteri, Gadiformes, Gadidae.
AGGAGGAGGGCUUGGGUGUUGCCCUGGGAACCCCCCGAGAGGAGGAGAUGCUGGGAGAGGGGGUUGCUAGGGAACGCAGUCGUAGUUGAUGUGUUUGUGCUGCGGGAGCUGACACAAGGGGGUUUCCUUAGGAUAUGGUUGAAAGGACAUCACCGAAAUUCAAUAAUGUUAUGAAAGUGUUUGUUAAGCCAAGCAUCGAUGUCUUGAAGUUACAUUUGGAUUCAAUUUGUUUCGUUUGUAGUGUACUCCUAUUAUGUUUCAAUUUCACUCAGGGGAUGAACCCCAAGUCAAUCUGGUUAUUCUGGCUUGCUGGGGGAAUUCAUUUUAAGAAGAUAUCCUUUAUUGCCAAUUCGGUCAGGUUCAUUCCCUGAAUAUGUCCUGAUUAAAGGUGUAAUAACAAGCCAAAACAGGAAACCGAAUAAUAAACGCAGGGCUACAUGACUCACAGUAUUGCGAAACACUGCAGUACCACGGUGAAUACAUAGCCAUUGCCAUAGAGUUCAAUCUUCAUAGUUGAGGGACGAGCACUGAAUGCGCGCUAUGCUCCGGCACACACUGUUUGGUAUCCAAGGCUCAGGCUGUCGCUGUCUGGGACUUCCACAGAGCACCUGCGGACCCGUUCUUUGAAGCCCGCCCUCACGCUCAGUCCUCUUGGAGGAGCUGAGGCAAUACUGCCGACAAGCGGGAACCUGUGGGUGACAUGGUCAGGGUACGAUUGGAUUUUGGGCCACAAAGUCUUUGAUCUGCCUCAUCUGACGUACGUGGCUGCUGCUGUCAGAGAGGAAUAACACGCUGCAGACUGUUUCCAGGAACAUCGCAGGACUCUGAGGACUCGGGCCAAGAUGUGCUGAUCAAAAGGCUGUCGGUCACGUGGAGACCCGGGGAGAGAGGCUGGGGAAGCAGCAUGGAGCCAGACACUCCUCCUUCGAGUUCUCCUCCUCCUCAUAUCAACACAACAAACACAUCCAGUGCAAGAUAUUGAAACAAGGGAUGAUGGUAUAUUAUUUUGGGCCUCAUAUUGUCUAUAAUAUACAAGGACAAAAAAAGUCAGUGUGAUGUGACUUGGCUUACAAUUGUGAUCUAAUAUUAUGUGUGAAUGUCAUGUUUGAUUGAGAAUAUAAUAUAAUUGAGGAUAUGUACUGUUUAUGAUUAGCUUUUAUUGACUGAUUGAAUACUUACCCACAGUAUAGUCUACCAAGUCGUGUGGCCGGAUGCAUCCCUGAGGGAGUUUCUUAGAAAUUGCCUCAAUUGCCCCCCUGGUUGAUUAGGAUAAUUAACCUUUACCAUUAGAAUGUGUAGCCAGACACAACUGAAAGUUUUCUAUUCACCCGACUGAAACCGGGUCAAUAGAGUGUCAAUGGAAUGAUCUGCCGUUCCUCCUGAAUGCACUUUGUUGUAAAUAGAUGGAGGCCUGAUGGAGCAAAAGGUGAUCAGAAUGCCUCAAAUGGGUUAACGCUCUGUUAAGUCGUGAUGCAGCCCCAUCAGGCUGCUUAGAUGGGCUAUUUCUGGAGAUGAAUAUUGGAUAGUAUUUGUUUACCAGACCUUCUCUCAGCUUUCACUCAUCACAGCUUUUCUUACACGCUUGAGUAUGACACAUUGUCACAUUAUUGGUACAUGUUAUUUAACAAUUCCUUACAGCAAAUAGACACACAGAAACUGUGUCUCAGAGUCUGUCAAAGUCUGACUUUAUAUCUAGGGCAGAUAUGUCAAAGUCUGUCGUUAAAUGAUGAGAAAGCAGGGAUUCUGCUACUUGAUUGAAUAUGAUUUUUGCUGUGAUUUUCCUUAGAGGUGUUGGUAAAGUGUCUGUGCCAGACAGCUAUCCUAUACCAGAGACAUUGGAUCAAAGGUGUUACAUCAUUCAUUCUUCUCUGGAACGGACUUGGCAGAGACUCCCCUGCAGAGCCAUCACUCAAUGUCUGCCAAUGAACACACACUUACCUCGACUCUAAGAAACACACACUUACCUCGACUCUAAGAAACACACACUUACCUCGACUCUAAGAAACACACACUUACCUCGACUCCAAGAAACACACACUUCCCUGGACUCCAAGCCCUCGCAGUCCCGAUCAAGACUUAGCCGGGAGGAAGAGCAAGACCCCAUUCAGGAUCCACUGUUUGCGGUCAUUACAUGCUGGUGGACACCGGGGCGGGUCACUGAUCUCCGACACCAUUCCGCCCCGAGCCCGGUGACUAAAACACCCAGAUGUGCACAUGACUGGCUUAUUCCGAAGGAUUUAUGGCCUUUCAAUGAAGUGGGGGGCCAACAGAGCCCUAUUAACUUUUUUUAAAUGACUUGGUUUAAAAUAUGUUUCUCACACACCAUGACUAAGUUAGGAACACAGUGAUGUGACAGAAUGUUAUCCCAUUUUCACAGGCUAAAUAUAUGGCCUAUAAAUACGCUAAUCGUGAAUGUG